AGGAAAAGAAACUAACAAGGAUUCCCCUAGUAACGGCGAGUGAAGCGGGAAGAGCUCAACAUUGUAAUCUGGCUGCUUCGCAGUCCGAGUUGUAGUCUAUAGAAGCAUGAUCCGCGCCGGCCCUUGGGCAUGUCUGUUGGAACGCAGUGUCAAAGAGGGUGAAAAUCCCGUACAUACCAAGGACGACCGUGUGCAUUGUGGUCUGCUCUCUAAGAGUCGAGUUGUUUGGGAAUGCAGCUCUAAUUGGGUGGUAAAUUCCAUCUAAAGCUAAAUAUCGACGAGAGACCGAUAGCGAACAAGUACAGUAAUGGAAAGAUGAAAAGUAGCCUGCAGAGGCAAUGAAACAAUACGUGAAACCGUUUGUAGGGAAGCGAUGGAACCUUUUCACGCUGCGAGGGUUCAGCUUGGCUUCGGCUUAGUGUAUUCCCUCGUUUUGCGGACCAGCAUCAGUUUGCUUCGCAGUAUAAGGGUGAUUGGAACGUGGCUUCUCCGGAAGUGUUAUAGCCUUUCACUGGAUGCUGUGUCGCAGACUGAGGACUGCAGUGCGCCGUAAGGCAUGGUCUUCGGGCCACGAGCACUUAGGAUGCUGGGCGAAUGGGUUUCAACGACCCGUCUUG
Molecule: ribosomal RNA, 617 nt
Filed under: Sterigmatomyces halophilus
Lineage: Eukaryota; Fungi; Basidiomycota; Agaricostilbomycetes; Agaricostilbales; Agaricostilbaceae
Description: LSU rRNA
Rfam family: Eukaryotic large subunit ribosomal RNA
Source: RNAcentral